This 274-nucleotide ribosomal RNA is filed under the name uncultured bacterium. Its description in RNAcentral is "partial 16S ribosomal RNA". It matches the Rfam family "Bacterial small subunit ribosomal RNA", at positions 523 to 796 of the family's 1533-position model. The record is from RNAcentral.
AUACGGAGGGUGCAAGCGUUAUACGGAAUCAUUGGGUUUAAAGGGUCCGCAGGCGGAUUAAUAAGUCAGUGGUGAAAUCCUCUCGCUCAACGAGAGAACUGCCAUUGAAACUGUUAGUCUUGAAUUCGGUCGAAGUAGGCGGAAUGUGUCAUGUAGCGGUGAAAUGCAUAGAUAUGACACAGAACACCGAUAGCGAAGGCAGCUUACUAGACCUGGAUUGACGCUCAUGGACGAAAGCAUGGGGAGCGAACAGGAUUAGAUACCCCGGUAGUCC